This 494-nucleotide ribosomal RNA is filed under the name uncultured bacterium. RNAcentral's name for it is "partial 16S ribosomal RNA". It matches the Rfam family "Bacterial small subunit ribosomal RNA", at positions 28 to 507 of the family's 1533-position model. The record is from RNAcentral.
GACGAACGCUGGCGGCGUGCUUAACACAUGCAAGUCGAACGAUGAAUCGCCUUCCUUUUUGGUAGGUGUGGAUGAGGGGCGAACGGGUGAGUAACACGUGAGUAACAUUCCCCGUUCUUCUUGCUAACAGCAGGAAAGGGCGGCUAACACGGGAUAUUUUGCCUCUGUCGCAUGAUGGGUUGGGGAAAGUUAUUGUUUCGGUGGGAGAUGGGCUCGCGGCCUAUCAGGUGGUUGGUGGGGUGAUGGCUUACCAAGGCGGGGACGGGUAGCCGGCCUGGGAGCGUGGACGAUCACGCUUGGGCUGAGAAACCGCCACGCCUGCUACGGGAGGCAGCAGUGGCGACUACUGCACGAUGCAGGCGAGCCUGAUGCACCGUCGCCGCGUGCGGGAUGGAGGCCUUCGGGUUGUGAACCUCUUUCGCCAGUGAAGUAAGCCUGCCUCGUUUGUGAUUAGGUUGACGGUAGCUGGAUAAGAAGCUCCGGCUAACUACGUG